ACCAUACAGACAGGUGGUGCAUGGUUGUCGUCAGCUCGUGUCGUGAGAUGUUGGGUUAAGUCCCGCAACGAGCGCAACCCUUAUCGUUAGUUACUACGCAAGAGGACUCUAGCGAGACUGCCGUUGACAAAACGGAGGAAGGUGGGGAUGACGUCAAAUCAUCAUGCCCUUUAUGACCUGGGCUACACGCGUACUACAAUGGCCAUCACAGAGAGAAGCGAGACCGCGAGGUGGAGCAAAACUCAGAAAAAUGGUCUCAGUUCGGAUUGGAGGCUGCAACUCGCCUCCAUGAAGCCGGAAUUGCUUGUAAUCGCGGAUCAGCAUGCCGCGGUGAAUACGUUCCCGGGCCUUGUACACACCGCCCGUCACACCAUGAGAGCCGGGGGGACCCGAAGUCGGUAGUCUAACCGCAAGGAGGACGCCGCCGAAGGUAAAACUGGUAAUUAGGGUGAAGUCGUAACAAGGUAACCAAGGGCGAAUUCUG
This 484-nucleotide ribosomal RNA is filed under the name uncultured Oscillospiraceae bacterium. RNAcentral describes it as "bacterial SSU rRNA". It matches the Rfam family "Bacterial small subunit ribosomal RNA", at positions 1025 to 1515 of the family's 1533-position model. Lineage: Bacteria; Bacillati; Bacillota; Clostridia; Eubacteriales; Oscillospiraceae. The record is from RNAcentral.